This 253-nucleotide ribosomal RNA is filed under the name uncultured bacterium. Its description in RNAcentral is "partial 16S ribosomal RNA". It matches the Rfam family "Bacterial small subunit ribosomal RNA", at positions 524 to 776 of the family's 1533-position model. The record is from RNAcentral.
UACGUAGGGUGCGAGCGUUGUCCGGAAUUAUUGGGCGUAAAGAGCUCGUAGGCGGUUUGUCGCGUCGACUGUGAAAACCCGAGGCUUAACCUCGGGCCUGCAGUCGAUACGGGCAGACUAGAGUUCGGUAGGGGAGACUGGAAUUCCUGGUGUAGCGGUGAAAUGCGCAGAUAUCAGGAGGAACACCGGUGGCGAAGGCGGGUCUCUAGUACGGUACUGACGCUGAGACGCGAAAGCGUGGGGAGCGAACAGG